UCCACUUGCCUGAAAUUGGGCACCCUAUGCUCAGAAAUUGUCACCACCUUUAUGAAACUUGUCACUAGACUGGUAAGGAGCACAAAUAAAAGAAAAUGAACUAGAACUCCCCAACUUCUUUUUCUGCCAUUUGUCACCAUCCUGAACACCCUGAGAUUAAGCACUUCCUCCUAGGUUAGAUAACCUGCUCCCUUUACCUUGUCUAUCUCCAAACUCUGCCAGCUUUCUCUUUUCAUUCUCCACUUACUGGAUAUGAACAGUCAACCUAGUGACAUCCCUAUCUUUAAUCAGAAAGGCAGUAUUGCUCUCCAAAAUCAAAUCUCAAUUCAAUCCAAAAGAGAACUUCCUCAUUCUUGCCCGCAUGUCAUCCACUAAAUAGGAGCAUCCUUAGAUAUUGGUAAAACUUUAAGGCAUAUUCCUUGGCAGACAUCCUCCCCUGCUUGAGGUUCAAAAACUCCUCCUUUUUUUUUCCUCAACUCUUGGGGAAAGAAACUAUCUAAGAAGGACUUAGAAAAAGUAUCCUAGAAGACUUAUUCUUCCAUAUCACCCCAAUCUCUGUCCUACU
RNAcentral lists this long non-coding RNA (565 nucleotides) under Capsicum annuum. Its description in RNAcentral is "long non-coding RNA (CANN_LNC001061)". Lineage: Eukaryota; Viridiplantae; Streptophyta; Magnoliopsida; Solanales; Solanaceae. The record is from RNAcentral.